UCUCUUUCUCCCUCUCAAUCAAAUGCAAGACUUGCAAAUUCUUGCAAAUCUCUCUCUCUCAUUAAAUUCUCAUCAUUAAAUGAUUUUGAACAAAAUUUUAUAUAAGAAAUAACAUCAUUAACGUCUUCUAAGUAUCAUAUCACAAAUUCGGGUUCCUUGGUGCAAGAAUUCAUCAUAAUUGGGUCAAUUUCGGGUUUGAGCUUUUAGUGGCAGAUUUUUGGUCGUGAGCAUUGAGGAUCUUUGAACGUUUGUAGCUUGUUGAAUACUUGUAACUCAAUCUCAAAUUGCUCAUAACCGGUAAAGGUGACAGGUUAGCUCAAGGGCGUAUUGGAUGAUUGACUGCUUAUUUAUGCUACACUUGGACUUCUUGGAUCCGUGAUUCAUUUCCUGAUUUGGGGUUAUGCUUAUGUGUGAUCUGGUUACUUGCAUUAUUAAAGGGUUCGUAUGGAUUACUAGAUCCCUUUUAUGCAUUUAGAUUGCUCUACAUAAUUUCCAUGUCGUGUUGUGCUGGUUGUGUAACCCUCAUGAUUCCGCCUUGUUGAGGUGUUACAUUAUGCACCUAAGGAAAAGAGAAUUACGCAGAUUAUAAUAAGAUAUGAAAGAUACCACAA
Long non-coding RNA from Erigeron canadensis, 611 nucleotides. RefSeq lists it as uncharacterized. The transcript has 3 exons. The record is from RefSeq and is a predicted model, not a curated record. Lineage: Eukaryota; Viridiplantae; Streptophyta; Magnoliopsida; Asterales; Asteraceae.